Molecule: small nucleolar RNA, 185 nt
Filed under: Chlamydomonas reinhardtii
Lineage: Eukaryota; Viridiplantae; Chlorophyta; Chlorophyceae; Chlamydomonadales; Chlamydomonadaceae
Description: CrACA51 snoRNA
Source: RNAcentral
CCUGACUAAAAGCAGAGGCUGUUUAGGCGGUCGCCUCCAGUAGGGGCCGUUCGUUGAGGUAGCCUCUCGUCCUGUACAGGAAAAGAAACUGAGAACCUACUGGGUGCGCUCGGGUAUGGCCAAUCGGCCCCUGACCCUGAUGACUAAUCAUAUGGCUCCCCAUCCCCAGUACCACCGGCACAUGC